Molecule: ribosomal RNA, 253 nt
Filed under: uncultured bacterium
Lineage: Bacteria
Description: partial 16S ribosomal RNA
Rfam family: Bacterial small subunit ribosomal RNA
Source: RNAcentral
UACGUAGGGUGCAAGCGUUAAUCGGAAUUACUGGGCGUAAAGCGUGCGCAGGCGGUUAGGUAAGACAGGUGUGAAAUCCCCGGGCUCAACCUGGGAACUGCAUCUGUGACUGCAUAGCUAGAGUACGGUAGAGGGGGAUGGAAUUCCGCGUGUAGCAGUGAAAUGCGUAGAUAUGCGGAGGAACACCGAUGGCGAAGGCAAUCCCCUGGACCUGUACUGACGCUCAUGCACGAAAGCGUGGGGAGCAAACAGG